CAUUGAAACACCGGUUCCCAUACAAUCAAUGAAGUUAAGCAAUAUCGAGCCUGGUCAGUAUCUAGAUAGGUGACUGCUUGGGAAUGCCAUGUGCGGUA
Non-coding RNA from Acanthosepion pharaonis, 98 nucleotides. Lineage: Eukaryota; Metazoa; Mollusca; Cephalopoda; Sepiida; Sepiidae. The record is from the annotation of a GenBank genome assembly.